GUUGUUAUAUGUUCACAGUUCCCACAGGGCUUUCCACACUCAUUGAGAAGCGUUGAAAGACUGAUGGGUCCUGGGAACAGAUAUUACAACA
RNAcentral lists this microRNA precursor (91 nucleotides) under Caenorhabditis remanei. RNAcentral describes it as "microRNA crm-mir-2229 precursor". The stretch from base 15 to 76 matches the Rfam family "mir-2229 microRNA precursor family". The record is from miRBase by way of RNAcentral. Lineage: Eukaryota; Metazoa; Nematoda; Chromadorea; Rhabditida; Rhabditidae.